GUGCCAGCAGCCGCGGUAAUACGUAGGGGGCAAGCGUUGUCCGGAAUCAUUGGGCGUAAAGCGCGUGUAGGCGGGUCGGUAAGUCUGCUCUGAAAGUCCAAGGCUCAACCUUGGGAUGCGGGUGGAUACUGCCGACCUCGAGUCCGGAAGAGGCGAGUGGAAUUCCUGGUGUAGCGGUGAAAUGCGCAGAUAUCAGGAGGAACACCAAUGGCGAAGGCAGCUCGCUGGGACGUGACUGACGCUGAGACGCGAAAGCGUGGGGAGCAAACAGGAUUAGAUACCCUGGUAGUCC
This 292-nucleotide ribosomal RNA is filed under the name uncultured bacterium. RNAcentral describes it as "partial 16S ribosomal RNA". It matches the Rfam family "Bacterial small subunit ribosomal RNA", at positions 505 to 796 of the family's 1533-position model. The record is from RNAcentral.